GAUGAACGCUGGCGGCGUGCCUAAUACAUGCAAGUCGAGCGAAAAGAUGAGGAGCUUGCUCCUCGGACGUUAGCGGCGGACGGGUGAGAAACGCGUGGAUACCCUACCUAUAAGACUGGGAUAACUAGGGGAAACCGGCGCAAAUACCGGAGAAUAUCUUGAAGCGCAUGGUGGGAUAGUGAAAGACGGCUGUGCUGUCACGUAUAGAUGGAUAUCGGCCGCAUGAGCUAGUUGGUAAGGUAACGGCUUACCAAGGGAAGGAGGCGUAGCCGACCUGAGAGGCUGAUCGCCCACCUGGGAGCUUAGACACGGUCCAUACUCCUACGGGAGGCAGCAGUAGGCAACCUGCCGCAAUGGGCGAAAACCUGACAGAGCAACCGCACGUGAGUGACGAAGGCCUCCGGAUCGUAAAGCUCUGUUAUGAGUUAAGAACAAAUGUGUAAUGAACUGUGCACGUCUUGACGGUACCUAGUCAGAAAGCCCCGGCUAACUACGUG
RNAcentral lists this ribosomal RNA (497 nucleotides) under uncultured bacterium. RNAcentral's name for it is "partial 16S ribosomal RNA". It matches the Rfam family "Bacterial small subunit ribosomal RNA", at positions 28 to 507 of the family's 1533-position model. The record is from RNAcentral.